UGAACUUUUUACACAUUGAAAUGACCAGUGAGUUAUGUUUCACAUUAUAUCCGAGAACAGCCGGCCUGCCAGAUCCAGCGUUGCAGCUGGAAUGCAGAAAAGCCCCAUUAUGUUAACUUGCAAAGUCUGGGAAAAACGAUUUGUUAUUCCCAAAACGUAAGUGAUUGUUUGUUUUUCUCCAGCACAUCUCAUACCCUGAAACUGUAGUGGCAUUUAAAGAAGUGGAAAACAACCUAAGCUGGGUUUGAGGUGGUAUAUGGUGAGGGUAGAGAUGGAAGGAAUGGAGGGCUGACAGCAGGGAGAAAAAGGGAAACUGAUCAAUAAGCAGAGGGUCACCAAGGGCGCAGGAAGAGUCUGCGUUAUUUUUGAGAAUUUAUUACAGUUUCAAGAGAACAGUUCACCAGACAUCUUCCGGCUGCUAGGGUUGCCUGGAACCCUCAACAGAGAGUAAGUGUGUGUGUGUGUGUGUGUGUGUGUGUGUGUGUGUUUCACUGUGUGUUCUUCUAUUUCACCCCUGGAGCUUUAAGAAGGGCCUAGACCAGUGUUGUCCAAUAGAAGUGUAAUACAAGCCACAUAUGUAAUUUAAAAUUUUCUAGUAGCCACAUUUUAAAAAGAAACCAGUAAAAUGAUUUAAUAAUGUAAUUUAUUUAACAUAUUCUAAAUAUUCGCCAGCCCUGAUGGUCUAGUGGUUAAGAUUUGGCACUCUCACCAGGUUCAUUUCUGGGUCGGGGAACCUCGCCACCCAUCUGUUGGUUGUCAUACUGUGGUACCGUAGUGACUGCAUGUCGCUGUGAUGCUGAAAGCUAUGCCACCACUAUUUCAAAUACCAGCAGGGUCACCCAGCGUGGAAGGUUUCAGUGGAGCUUCCAGACUGAGAUAGACAGGAAAAAGGACCUGGCCACCUACUUCCAAAAAAUUUGGCCGUGAAAACCCUAUGAAUAGCAGCAGAGCCUUCUCUGAUAUAGUGCCAGAAGGUGAGAGGACAAAAAGACAGGGCAGGCUUCCACCCUGCUGUGCAAUGUCCCUGGGAGUCAGAAUUGACUCUGCAGCACCAGCAACAAAGGGAAAUAUUUUAUCAUUUCAACAUAUAACAUACCUAAAACUCAUUAAUGAGAUGGGUUAAAUUUUCCUUUUCAUGCACCACCAUCUUUGAAAUCUGGUGUGUGUCUGGCAUGUAGUUACACUCACUGACAGCACGUCUCCCUGUGGACCAGCCACACUCUUUGUCUCAAUAGGCACAUGUGCUAGCUGUGGGAUGGUGUGGGCUGACCAGUGAAGAACAAUUGCCCUCUCAGGUGUAACUCGCUCGGCUCUGCUCAAGUCUUUGUAUUUCCCUAAAUCUGAAGCUCCUCCUCCUCUGGAGACCCCAGAACUCACCUCUCAAAGGCACCACGCCUACCAGCUCCUAGAAGAAUGGCGCAUGAGGCGUCGCUCUUUUGGCUGUCCCAUUAGCCUUCCUUCCUCAAUAGGUCAAGCAAAACUUUAUGAUUAAAAACCCCAGAACCUGGGAAAUACUUGAGUAAAAGCCCAUUGGCAUAGCAGCAUUGCAUCUGGACUUCCAGGAGAAAGCCAUUCUUUCUCCCUUGGUCUUUGCUGCCCGCUUCCAACCUUCGUCUUGCUGUCCUUUCUCAGUGAAUGUUCUUUCUUCUUCCUUAGUCUCCCUUUCCAGAUUGAGCAGGAUGGUCGUGGGGGCUGCUGGAGGGAUUUCUGUGUCCUGUCCUGGAGAACAUGGUCACAGAGGGGAGGCAGGGAGGGUCAGGCCCGCUCUCACUGUGCCGUCAGUCCUGCAGCAGAAAGUCAGUCUGAAGUUGGGCCAGUGCAUCUACAUGGAACAAAAGGCAAGUUGGAGGGACACCCUGCAAUGGUUCUUUAGGAUCUACAGAGGGGUGGCAAAUGCCCACAGCUGGGGCAGGUCGUACACACAAAUGAAGCUGUCCAGAUGUUAGCUGAGAUUGGUGGGAAAUAUGGGGACCAGGAAAACAUAGGCCUCCCCCAGGGAAUUUCAACUCAUCUUUAAUCCUGUGCAAACCAAACAAAACUGGACAGAGUCCCAGAGUCAUUGGUUUGUGAUCCUAUUAGAGGGACAAGGCCUGGGGAUCCACAUCACACCUGGCAGCAAGUGUCUGAAGAACUGCCACUUUGUCUUCUGUCCUACCUUCUUGGAUGUGCUGUCUAUCAGUUGCCUAACUUUGGGCUUUUGGAACCUGGCUCAUCUUCAUCUUCAUGUCAUGUCUUCAUCUUCAUCUGCAUGUCAACAACCACAUCACCGACUUUACAACCAACUUCCUGACCUUACAGACCCUCAGUCUUCACUUCUCAUGGCCCUAAACUCCAUUCAGGACUGGACCUUGAGAUGGGGUGAAAUGUAACUUGCAACUUGGAAACACAUGGCAGUUUGCUACCUCUGAACCUGUGUCAGUCACUGACUUUCUCCAUAGCCCUAAGCUGUAGGCUGACAGCCAAAGUAUUUUUGGAGGCUUAAACCCACCAGCUGAAAGAACAGACCCUCCUGCUGCCCCUUAGCAUCCCGUGGUCUGAGACAAGCCUGGACCCCUUCACAGCCUCCGCUGCCAGAGCUCUGCUGGGCUCUGCUGGGCUCCCUUGUUGGUGCACCCUAAGUCGUCUCCACGUUCUGGUUUGUCUCCAGUCCACCCACUGGGACUAGAGCCAUGCGCCGAAGUGCAGGUGGAAGCACUGACGCCCUGCCCAGUCCUGACCAGACCCCUUCUCAAGGGGUUAGCCUCUGCCCUAUUCUUCCAGCAAGGUGCCAGACAGAUCAAGUGGAACAAGAAUAUCAUUACCUUCCUAGUCCACCUGCCUUUACUGGAAACUUCUGCUCUUGCCCAAAUACUGGAACAGAUUUCCCCUUGGAAAAUGACCCUGGCUUGGAUCUUGCCCCUGUCUGCCACACCUAUUCCCAGCUUCCUCUUUCUCCUGGCUGAAGCCCCAAAACGCUGCCCUGCCAAGUCGCACAGCUCUGGUUCUGGGGCUGCUGAAUUUUCACCUGGGGACAAGGAAAAAUUGAAAAUCAGCAC
Equus caballus (horse) is the source of this 3035-nucleotide long non-coding RNA. The record is from Ensembl. Lineage: Eukaryota; Metazoa; Chordata; Mammalia; Perissodactyla; Equidae.